UAAUACAGAGGGGGCAAGCGUUGUCCGGACUGACUGGGCGUAAAGCGUACGCAGGCGGUCGCGGGCGUCGGUACUGAAAGUCCACCGCUUAACGGUGGAUCGCGUGUCGAUACGCCGCAACUGGAGCCAUGUAGAGGUCCGUGGAAUUGCCGGUGUAGUGGUGAUAUGCGUAGAUAUCGGCAGGAACACCCAAGGGGAAGCCAACGGACUGGGCAUGUGCUGACGCUCAGGUACGACAGCGUGGGGAGCAAACUGGAUUAGAUACCCAGGUAGUCCACGCCGUAAACGAUGGAUGCUCGGUGUCUGGGGGCUAUCAACGUCCCGGGGCGCCUCAGCUAACGCGGAAGCAUCCCGCCUGGGAACUACGAGCGCAAGCUUA
RNAcentral lists this ribosomal RNA (379 nucleotides) under uncultured bacterium. Its description in RNAcentral is "bacterial SSU rRNA". It matches the Rfam family "Bacterial small subunit ribosomal RNA", at positions 521 to 896 of the family's 1533-position model. The record is from RNAcentral.